GAUUAGGUUAGUGUUAUGAUAUGAGGGUAGGUUAGUGUUAUGAUAUGAGGGUAGGUUAGUGGUAGACAUGUCUGUAUGUAGUGUUAUGAUAUGAGGAUAGGUUAGUGUUAUGAUUUUAAGGGUAGGUUAGUGGUAGACAUGUCUGUAUGUAGUGUUAUGAUAUGUCUGUAUGUAGUGUUAUGAUAUGAGGGUAGAUUAGGUUAGUGUUAUGAUAUGAGGGUAGGUUAGUGUUAUGAUAUGAGGGUAGGUUAGUGGUAGACAUGUCUGUAUGUAGUGUUAUGAUAUGAGGAUAGGUUAGUGUUAUGAUUUUAAGGGUAGGUUAGUGGUAGACAUGUCUGUAUGUAGUGUUAUGAUAUGUCUGUAUGUAGUGUUAUGAUAUGAGGGUAGGUUAGUGUUGUGAUAUGAGGGUAGGUUAGUGUUAUGAUAUGAGGGUAGGUUAGUGUUAUGAUAUGAGGGUAGGUUAGUGUUAUGAUAUGUCUGUAUGUAGUGUUAUGAUAUGAGGGUAGGUUAGUGUUAUGAUAUGAGGGUAGGUUAGUGUUAUGAUAUGAGG
Long non-coding RNA from Oncorhynchus tshawytscha (Chinook salmon), 550 nucleotides. Lineage: Eukaryota; Metazoa; Chordata; Actinopteri; Salmoniformes; Salmonidae. The record is from Ensembl.